This 576-nucleotide ribosomal RNA is filed under the name uncultured bacterium. RNAcentral's name for it is "bacterial SSU rRNA". It matches the Rfam family "Bacterial small subunit ribosomal RNA", at positions 102 to 674 of the family's 1533-position model. The record is from RNAcentral.
ACGGGUGAGUAAUACAUCGGAACAUGUCCUGUAGUGGGGGAUAGCCCGGCGAAAGCCGGAUUAAUACCGCAUACGAUCUAUGGAUGAAAGCGGGGGACCUUCGGGCCUCGCGCUAUAGGGUUGGCCGAUGGCUGAUUAGCUAGUUGGUGGGGUAAAGGCCUACCAAGGCGACGAUCAGUAGCUGGUCUGAGAGGACGACCAGCCACACUGGGACUGAGACACGGCCCAGACUCCUACGGGAGGCAGCAGUGGGGAAUUUUGGACAAUGGGCGAAAGCCUGAUCCAGCAAUGCCGCGUGUGUGAAGAAGGCCUUCGGGUUGUAAAGCACUUUUGUCCGGAAAGAAAUCCUUGGCUCUAAUACAGCCGGGGGAUGACGGUACCGGAAGAAUAAGCACCGGCUAACUACGUGCCAGCAGCCGCGGUAAUACGUAGGGUGCAAGCGUUAAUCGGAAUUACUGGGCGUAAAGCGUGCGCAGGCGGUUUGCUAAGACCGAUGUGAAAUCCCCGGGCUCAACCUGGGAACUGCAUUGGUGACUGGCAGGCUAGAGUAUGGCAGAGGGGGGUAGAAUUCCACGU